UUCAUACUCCCUCCAUCUUGAAUUACUUGUCGCAGAAAUGGAUGUAUCUAGAACUAAAAAUACAUCUAGAUACAUGCAUUUCUGCGACAAGUAAUUCGGGGUGGAGGGAGUACUAC
Molecule: non-coding RNA, 116 nt
Organism: Triticum aestivum (bread wheat)
Lineage: Eukaryota; Viridiplantae; Streptophyta; Magnoliopsida; Poales; Poaceae
Source: Rfam